Molecule: long non-coding RNA, 1225 nt
Filed under: Pogona vitticeps (central bearded dragon)
Lineage: Eukaryota; Metazoa; Chordata; Lepidosauria; Squamata; Agamidae
Description: lncRNA (ENSPVIG00000009007.1)
Source: RNAcentral
AUGAAAGAGAGGGAGGGAGGGAGGGAGGGAGAGAUGCUUCCACCUGCAUUUUUAAAAAGUGAAAGGAACAAGGAGCAUCGAACAGAGCAGGGGAGAGCAAAUACUACAAUCAAAAUGGCCUUCGCUUCUCCCAGCACCACGGACAGAGACGUGGGGCUCCUUCUGAGAUGCCUGCAUGGGCACUGCCGGUGGGCGACGCGUGCAAAUCGCCCACCGGACGUUUAGACUUUCCCCAGAACAAACGGGAAGCAGAGUGGCCUCCUCUGGACUCCGGCCUUAUCUGGGACGGCAUGGAAAGAGAAAUCUUUGCACCGCUUCAACGCCUCGGAGGCAAAGAUCGGCUUUUCCUGAAUGACUGACUGGUGGUCCGAGAGGGGUUUUCAAUGGACUGUUGUGCUCUGUGGCUUCAAAUGUGCUCUAAUAUUGAUCUUAGUGAUCAUUUUAAUAUAAUAUCUCUUUAAUUCUUUUUCAAUAUUUGUAUACUUACUGUUUUAGCUGUCGAGUACUGUUUCAAUGAUGCAAGCUUCCUGGGGUCCCUUUGGGGAGAAAGGUGGCAUAGAAAGACUUUAAAUAGCUAGUCUUGGGAGAGUGGGAGGGGUGGCCCUCAGGGACCGCUGCGCCUCCAUGCUGGGCUGUUCACAGGCUUCAUUUCUAUCCUGUUUUUGUUUUUUGUUUUUUGUUUUGGUCCGGGGAGUCCCAGGUGGCGCCAUCAGCUCUUGCCUUGCCUGUUUUACCCUCGUGGUGAUCCUGUGCAGUAAAUCAGACUCAGAAGCAGAGCUUCCCUGAGAGGGUUCAGGGUUCUGUGGGUCCUUGAACCCAGGCUUCUACAGUCCAGCACCCUUACCCAAAACACACACACACACACCCCAUGGGCUCCGACCACAGGCCAUGUCAUCCUUCUGGAGGUCAAAUGGCAGCUGGGUGAGGGCCCUGACGCCAUUCCCCUUACUUCCUCCCCACCUCCUGCUUACAUGGCAAUCCCUCUGCUGAUGGUGGAGCUUGCCCGCUGAAAGGUGUGCACAGUGACAGGGGAGGGAGCCUGGCCUUCUCCAGGCUGGAGUGGAGAACGGCUUGGUUGUAAUCCUGUCUCUUUGUGGGACACGCUUGGAUGAGUCUGUCACCCCUCAUCAGCUGCCAGCCCUCAGAGCUCUCUUCUGUCUGACUGUCAGAGCAAAUCCUCCUUACUCUGAGCCAUCAGGCGCGCUCCUACAGGCAUCACAGCACC